UACAGAGGGUGCAAGCGUUAAUCGGAAUUACUGGGCGUAAAGCGUGCGUAGACGGUUAUUUAAGUCAGGUGUGAAAGCCCCGGGCUCAACCUGGGAAUUGCAUCUGAGACUGAAUAGCUAGGGUGCGGAAGAGGGAAGCGGAAUUUCCGGUGUAGCGGUGAAAUGCGUAGAUAUCGGAAGGAACACCAGUGGCGAAAGCGGCUUCCUGGUCCAGCACCGACGUUCAGGCACGAAAGCGUGGGGAGCAAACAGG
This 253-nucleotide ribosomal RNA is filed under the name uncultured bacterium. RNAcentral's name for it is "partial 16S ribosomal RNA". It matches the Rfam family "Bacterial small subunit ribosomal RNA", at positions 524 to 776 of the family's 1533-position model. The record is from RNAcentral.